This 253-nucleotide ribosomal RNA is filed under the name uncultured bacterium. RNAcentral describes it as "partial 16S ribosomal RNA". It matches the Rfam family "Bacterial small subunit ribosomal RNA", at positions 524 to 776 of the family's 1533-position model. The record is from RNAcentral.
UACGUAGGGUGCAAGCGUUGUCCGGAAUUAUUGGGCGUAAAGAGCUCGUAGGCGGUUCGUCGCGUCGGCUGUGAAAACCCGGAGCUCAACUCCGGGCCUGCAGUCGAUACGGGCGGACUUGAGUGUUGCAGGGGAGACUGGAAUUCCUGGUGUAGCGGUGAAAUGCGCAGAUAUCAGGAGGAACACCAAUGGCGAAGGCAGCACUCUGGGACGUGACUGACGCUGAGACGCGAAAGCGUGGGGAGCAAACAGG